RNAcentral lists this ribosomal RNA (497 nucleotides) under uncultured bacterium. RNAcentral's name for it is "partial 16S ribosomal RNA". It matches the Rfam family "Bacterial small subunit ribosomal RNA", at positions 28 to 507 of the family's 1533-position model. The record is from RNAcentral.
GACGAACGCUGGCGGCGUGCCUAAUACAUGCAAGUUGAGCGAUGAAGAUUGGUGCUUGCACCAAUUUGAAGAGCAGCGAACGGGUGAGUAACGCGUGGGGAAUCUGCCUUUGAGCGGGGGACAACAUUUGGAAACGAAUGCUAAUACCGCAUAAUAACUUUAAACAUAAGUUUUAAGUUUGAAAGAUGCAAUUGCAUCACUCAAAGAUGAUCCCGCGUUGUAUUAGCUAGUUGGUGAGGUAAAGGCUCACCAAGGCGAUGAUACAUAGCCGACCUGAGAGGGUGAUCGGCCACAAUGGGACUGAGACACGGCCCAAACUCCUACGGGAGGCAGCAGUAGGGAAUCUUCGGCAAUGGACGAAAGUCUGACCGAGCAACGCCGCGGGAGUGAAGAAGGUUUUCGGAUCGUAAAACUCUGUUGGUAGAGAAGAACGUUGGUGAGAGUGGAAAGCUCAUCAAGUGACGGUAACUACCCAGAAAGGGACGGCUAACUACGUG